This 450-nucleotide ribosomal RNA is filed under the name uncultured bacterium. RNAcentral describes it as "partial 16S ribosomal RNA". It matches the Rfam family "Bacterial small subunit ribosomal RNA", at positions 354 to 796 of the family's 1533-position model. The record is from RNAcentral.
GUGGGGAAUAUUGGACAAUGGGCGCAAGCCUGAUCCAGCCAUACCGCGUGGGUGAAGAAGGCCUUCGGGUUGUAAAGCCCUUUUGUUGGGAAAGAAAUCCUGUCGGUUAAUACCUGGCGGGGAUGACGGUACCCAAAGAAUAAGCACCGGCUAACUUCGUGCCAGCAGCCGCGGUAAUACGAAGGGUGCAAGCGUUACUCGGAAUUACUGGGCGUAAAGCGUGCGUAGGUGGUGGUUUAAGUCCGUUGUGAAAGCCCUGGGCUCAACCUGGGAAUUGCAGUGGAUACUGGAUCACUAGAGGGUGGUAGAGGGAUGCGGAAUUUCUGGUGUAGCAGUGAAAUGCGUAGAGAUCAGAAGGAACAUCCGUGGCGAAGGCGGCAUCCUGGGCCAACACUGACACUGAGGCACGAAAGCGUGGGGAGCAAACAGGAUUAGAAACCCGUGUAGUCC